UCAACCGUAAAAUUGCAGUUGAAACUGGCAGUCUUGAGUACAGUAGAGGUGGGCGGAAUUCGUGGUGUAGCGGUGAAAUGCUUAGAUAUCACGAAGAACUCCGAUUGCGAAGGCAGCUCACUAGACUGCAACUGACACUGAUGCUCGAAAGUGUGGGUAUCAAACAGGAUUAGAUACCCUGGUAGUCCACACAGUAAACGAUGAAUACUCGCUGUUUGCGAUAUACAGUAAGCGGCCAAGCGAAAGCAUUAAGUAUUCCACCUGGGGAGUACGCCGGCAACGGUGAAACUCAAAGGAAUUGACGGGGGCUCGCACAAGCGGAGGAACAUGUGGUUUAAUUCGAUGAUACGCGAGGAACCUUACCCGGGCUUAAAUUGCAUUUGAAUAAUCUGGAAACAGGUUAGCCGCAAGGCAAAUGUGAAGGUGCUGCAUGGUUGUCGUCAGCUCGUGCCGUGAGGUGUCGGCUUAAGUGCCAUAACGAGCGCAACCCUUAUCUUUAGUUACUAACAGGUCAUGCUGAGGACUCUGGAGAGACUGCCGUCGUAAGAUGUGAGGAAGGUGGGGAUGACGUCAAAUCAGCACGGCCCUUACGUCCGGGGCUACACACGUGUUACAAUGGGGGGUACAGAAGGCAGCUAGCGGGUGACCGUAUGCUAAUCCCAAAAUCCUCACUCAGUUCGGAUCGAAGUCUGCAACCCGACUUCGUGAAGCUGGAUUCGCUAGUAAUCGCGCAUCAGCCACGGCGCGGUGAAUACGUUCCCGGGCCUUGUACACACCGCCCGUCAAGCCAUGGGAGCCGGGGGUACCUGAAGUACGUAACCGCAAGGAUCGUCCUAGGGUAAAACUGGUGACUGGGGCUAAGUCGUAACAAGGUAACCA
RNAcentral lists this ribosomal RNA (879 nucleotides) under uncultured bacterium. RNAcentral describes it as "bacterial SSU rRNA". It matches the Rfam family "Bacterial small subunit ribosomal RNA", at positions 609 to 1502 of the family's 1533-position model. The record is from RNAcentral.